Molecule: long non-coding RNA, 1051 nt
Organism: Brachypodium distachyon (stiff brome)
Lineage: Eukaryota; Viridiplantae; Streptophyta; Magnoliopsida; Poales; Poaceae
Exons: 2
Source: RefSeq, a predicted model, not a curated record
GAAAAAGGGGACUAAGGGGACAUAUCAGGUGAAAAUCUGAAAAUUUGCGUCACCAGCCGUUGGAUCCGAAACAUACGGUACAGAUUAGAAGUGGAAGCCGAGCCACAACUUAAACCCCCUUUUACAGAGAACCCCCUGCUAAAACUAUCAUAUCCAAAUUUCACAGCCAUGGGGAAUCGAUGGGAAUCGCCCCUGCCCUCGACCAGCGAUGGAAUCGCCACGCCAUGGAGCAGCGUCGGCGACCCGCCCUCUCCCAGCGCCUGCGGACCUCCCUCUCCCAGCGCCGGCGGCCGGGUGACCCUGGUCUGGAGCUCGGCCGCGCGGGUGCAUGCUCUCUCUCUCCGCGACGGCGACCUGGUGCUUCCCCAGGCAACGGUUAACUCCGAGACGGCCCCCCUCCAUGACGGAGGCCCAGCGGCGCGGUGCAGGCUUCAUGCGUCGGCGACCCCGCGGCCACGUUGGUUGCCCGCGCGACGGCAACCUCGCUGCCCCCAUGCAAUGGCGGCCUGGAUGCAAGUGACGGCCACUCGAAGCUUCAGAAGCUGCAGUAUUGAUCGGCGAAGCAUGUCCAUAUGGCCGGGUCGUGACGCGUGCUUGUGAGGGAGAUUCAUGGCCGGUGGAAGGCGAUGGAUCAUGGGCGGAUCCACCGGAUGCCAGUGGCUCAGGCUCACUGCGACACUGCCGCCGGAGCCGGCGGAAGGCCAUGGCUCACGGCCGCCGGAGGGAGAGCACUCAAGGACGGGCCUUGCGGAUGGCCAUGGCACACGAGUGGCGGAGGUCCUGAUCAUGCAACCGGCGCUGGUCCAGGGAGGGGAGGCGGCCCUUGUCGAGGGCUGGCGGCCGGUGGACAGCGAUUUCCCCACGGCUGUGAAGAUCUGAGGAGGUGUGAAGAUAGAAGACGAAUCGUGGCUGUGCAAAUUCGGUAUGCUAGUUUUACCAGGGUGUUUUCUGUAAAAAGGGUUUAAGUUGUGCCUCGGCUUCCCAGGUCUAAUCUCUGCCGUCUGUUUCGGAUCCAACGGCUGGCGACGCGAAUUUUCAGAUUUUCACCUAA